AUUAAACACAAAAAUGGAGUUUGGUUGAAGUUGUAGAAUAGACAUAUUCCAUGGAGUUGACCUCAAAUAGUUCCAAUUGCAACUGGAGCACAGGCUUGGCUUCUUAGUUAACAAUUAAAGGGCAGGGUGGAACCUUUAACUUUAAGUAAGGUGGGUGUCAAAGCAAAUGAUGAAAGAGAAGUGAAGACCGAAGAGUUUAGAGGUCGACUGAUCCGACUCCCAAAAGUUGUGGCGACAAAGCUCGCUCUCCAUCGUCUAUCUAGCAAUGGAGGAAGGAAGUUGUUCUGGCGAGACUAAGAAAGAAAGGGGAGAGAGUUUGAACCAUACAAUUUUGACACCAGAAAGGCAGAAACUUUUGCCCCAAUUCGAAAGAAAUUUAUCUAUGGAUGCCAUUUUGUGCCCUCUCUUUUCUUCUUGGGGUGUGCUGCCAAAGUUCGGUUAGGGAUGUCAUGUGAAUCAUUCCAUAUUUUCGAGUUUGUUCCUAAGUUCCUCAACCUGACCAACCCGACUAGAGUGGUUAACCCAAUCCAACCCAUUCCAUCCUUCGUAUCACGAAAUUGGGUCUUGGGUUUUAACACCUUGAAUCAACAAAUUUUAAUGGAGAGACAAGGCAAGAUGACUCACAAUUGGAUUAUAGCAGAGAUGCCCAUGUGAUGAGGAAAGAUUUAAAUAUACUUGUUUUAAAUAAUGUUAUAAAAUAUCCUAAUACAAAAAAUAAUACUCUACCAUCAAAAAUAUGAUUUUAAUGUUCAACCAACCUAGUAUCAAAAAAUUCAAAAUUUAAUAUCCAACAACUUAUUUACUAUAACAACAACAAUAAUAAACAAUAAGUGAAUAAUUGGGGUGGGGCGGAAACAUGGACAUGGACAUGGACAUGGACGAGGAAUAAAGUUUUCGUCCCCAUCCCAAUUUAGUCAACGGGAAAAAAAACUCUCCUUCCUCCCUCCCCUGUUCAUUAAUAAAAUUUAAACACCAUACAAAAUUAAUAAACACAUCUUUAAAACCAACUCAAAUUUACUCUAUUGAAUUGGUCAUGAAAGUUUAGAAACUAAAAUGAAAUUUCACGAAUGGAUCGUGAAGUGGAGGAAUGAGGCAUUGGCAUGUUGAAAAUUUGGGUACACAACCACUCUAAGCCUCUUCUUGUCAUCCAACUCCUAUAAGCAUAUGGGCUUCUGAUGUUUGUUCAUUUCACCUACCAAUCCUUUCCCUCUUUUUAAAGUUUCCUCCUUCAACCUCUCAUAAUUGCUAAUGUUUUAUGCCUUUUUGGCCUACACAGCCACACCCAGAGGAUCCCAUGUUAUGACUCACUGUAAUGUCCCUUUCGAUUCAAACAAAUUAUUCACUGUUCUCAUUCUACCAUUCACGUUCUAUGACAUGUUAUCGUUUCUUCCAUUAUUUGCUAUUUUAAAGAAGAGUCUAUUUCUACUGAUCUCUAUGUAUAUAAAUCAUUGAUGACGUAGAAAUCGUAUAUAGAAAAGUAGACAGUUGGUUAGAAGAAUAAAAUGUCGAUAGCUACAAGACGAACAUUGUAGAUUAUGAGGUGACUGUCGAUUAUGACCCCUUGGUGCCUUAUCUAGCUUCUCUUGGGCUUCUGGUUCAUCUAGUUACUCUCCAUGUAGGGUACAAGUACUUUUCAUGCUCUAUAUGUCCACGUCCACGUUUAGGAGCAUUUGAUGAUGAGGGAUCAACCUCAAAAGCAUAAUAUAGUGGAGUAUGAAGAUAUCAUGAAUCAACACGGGAUCGAUUUCAUCAACUUUAGAGAAGUUUUGAUCUCUCCCUCAAACACUUUUGGUACAACUUGUUUCAUGUCUACUUGUCUCGUUACUCUGUUGGAUAUAUGCUAAUCAACAACAUGAAAUCAUAUGGGAAAACUUACCGUACACUAGAUAUCGUGACCGUUUCUACAUUAAUUAGGUAAUGUCGUGAUGACAUCGAUAUGAAGCUUUCAAAUACAAUCCUUAGAACCCUUAGAGAUGAAACCAAUUUAGAUCAAGGACAGAAAGAUAAGAAAACUUAAUAUUCUUACCUCAACAUUGGCCAAUUCAGCCAAUCCAUACUGCCCGUAGUUCCUCCCAUUGUUCAUCAACGAGCAUAGACAGAUUGGGGAUAGGAGACUGGUGUGUGGACCAGUGGUGGGGUUUUGGAAAACUUCUUUAGAAGUUAAUGAUUAGAGACGAAUGGGGUGUAGGGUCUGUGUAGCUUGAGUGCAUGUGUGACUUGAGUACUGUCCUUGGGCGAGAUGCUGCUAUUGAAUCCCUUUUUUAUGCUAGAGUUGUCAUCAUCUCAUCAUCUUCACAACCUUUAUUUUAAACUUUUAACCAUCCCAACCCAACACCCGACUGCAAAUAAUACCCGACCAUAUGAACAUCGAUACGUUAUAUAGUCUCUCUUUCAUGUAGAUACUCUAUCCCUUCUGUCUCUCCUUGGAGCAUAUAGAUCCACCCAAUCAAUGAACAAAAGCAAAACAAAUUUAAAAAAGAACAACAAAUGGGUAAGGAGAAGAGGAGAACAAUAUCUAGGCAAGCCCUGAGCCAAACUCGAAAACGAGCCGGGAAUAACAUGAAGAGUCUAGGAAAGAUUCGACAUGGAGUGGAAGUACUUGGUCGUUGGAGUUUCCUUUUCCUCAACCGAUGAUUUAUGUCGUUAUAGUUGAAAGACGUAUAACAAAAUAAGGCUCAAUCAAGUGUCAACAGUGGAAUGUGGAAGACAAACAGACACUUUUAGAAAGUAGCUUUUUUUUUCCCUUUCCAAAUGUUAGUUAGAUCAGACCCCCUCCUCUCCUCUUUCUUUCCUUCAUUUACACCUUUCUCCACUUUUCUCUCUUCCACAGACUCAGUUCAGCCUCCCAUUCCAAGCUUCCAAAGACUCAGAAGAAGAAGAAAAUGAGUAAAGAAGAAGAAGAAUUAGAAUUCUCCCCUUCAGCUCAGUUUGUGUCUGAAAUCUCCCAAUGCUUCUCCUUACUUCUCUCACACCCUCUCUAUUUCUCUUAUUUCCUGUUCUUCUCCCCUUAUCUUCUCAGGCUCCUCUCCUUUGUUUCCCCUCUUUUGGCCACCACAUUCCUCUUGAUCCUCCAGCCCUUUUUCUCCCAUACCCACCAAACCCAUUUAGAUGACCAAACAUUCCCUCUCCCUCAGCAUCUUGAGUGGUUCAACACUGUCUUCAACGGACCCACUGGCAUCCCCACAAACCCAUUUCCACUUCAAGAACCAGAGAUCAACAAACAAGAAGCAAAAGAAGAGGAUCAUGAGGAUGAAGAGACUAGAGAAAAUGGGAUUGAAAUGGGUAAGAAGAGCUUUUUGGUGGGGUGUAAAGAGUUCGAAGAUGAUGAGGAUAAAAUGGAUUUGCUUUGGGAGAAGUAUGAGGAGAAGGAUGAAAAGAGCUGCAAUUUAAAGAAGGAUUUGAGGAGUUUGGUGAAUCUUCAAAAGGAAAUGGAAGAA
RNA transcript from Cucurbita maxima (winter squash), 3437 nucleotides. RefSeq lists it as uncharacterized. The record is from RefSeq and is a predicted model, not a curated record. The transcript has 3 exons. Lineage: Eukaryota; Viridiplantae; Streptophyta; Magnoliopsida; Cucurbitales; Cucurbitaceae.